RNAcentral lists this ribosomal RNA (2909 nucleotides) under Pseudomonas sp. BIGb0427. RNAcentral describes it as "23S ribosomal RNA". It matches the Rfam family "Bacterial large subunit ribosomal RNA". The record is from RNAcentral. Lineage: Bacteria; Pseudomonadati; Pseudomonadota; Gammaproteobacteria; Pseudomonadales; Pseudomonadaceae.
GUUAUAUGGUCAAGUGAAGAAGCGCAUACGGUGGAUGCCUUGGCAGUCAGAGGCGAUGAAAGACGUGGUAGCCUGCGAUAAGCUUCGGGGAGUCGGCAAACAGACUUUGAUCCGGAGAUCUCUGAAUGGGGAACCCACUCAGCAUAAGCUGAGUAUCUUGUACUGAAUACAUAGGUGCAAGAGGCGAACCAGGGGAACUGAAACAUCUAAGUACCCUGAGGAAAAGAAAUCAACCGAGAUUCCCUUAGUAGUGGCGAGCGAACGGGGACUAGCCCUUAAGUGGCUUUGAGAUUAGCGGAACGCUCUGGAAAGUGCGGCCAUAGUGGGUGAUAGCCCUGUACGCGAAAAUCUCUUAGUCAUGAAAUCGAGUAGGACGGAGCACGAGAAACUUUGUCUGAAUAUGGGGGACCAUCCUCCAAGGCUAAAUACUACUGACUGACCGAUAGUGAACCAGUACCGUGAGGGAAAGGCGAAAAGAACCCCGGAGAGGGGAGUGAAAUAGAUCCUGAAACCGUAUGCGUACAAGCAGUGGGAGCCUACUUUGUUAGGUGACUGCGUACCUUUUGUAUAAUGGGUCAGCGACUUAUAUUCAGUGGCGAGCUUAACCGAAUAGGGAGGCGUAGCGAAAGCGAGUCUUAAUAGGGCGUUUAGUCGCUGGGUAUAGACCCGAAACCGGGCGAUCUAUCCAUGGGCAGGUUGAAGGUUAGGUAACACUGACUGGAGGACCGAACCGACUACCGUUGAAAAGUUAGCGGAUGACCUGUGGAUCGGAGUGAAAGGCUAAUCAAGCUCGGAGAUAGCUGGUUCUCCUCGAAAGCUAUUUAGGUAGCGCCUCAUGUAUCACUGUAGGGGUAGAGCACUGUUUCGGCUAGGGGUCAUCCCGACUUACCAAACCGAUGCAAACUCCGAAUACCUACAAGUGCCGAGCAUGGGAGACACACGGCGGGUGCUAACGUCCGUCGUGAAAAGGGAAACAACCCAGACCGUCAGCUAAGGUCCCAAAGUUAUGGUUAAGUGGGAAACGAUGUGGGAAGGCUUAGACAGCUAGGAGGUUGGCUUAGAAGCAGCCACCCUUUAAAGAAAGCGUAAUAGCUCACUAGUCGAGUCGGCCUGCGCGGAAGAUGUAACGGGGCUCAAACCAUACACCGAAGCUACGGGUAUCACUUAGGUGAUGCGGUAGAGGAGCGUUCUGUAAGCCUGUGAAGGUGAGUUGAGAAGCUUGCUGGAGGUAUCAGAAGUGCGAAUGCUGACAUGAGUAACGACAAUGGGAGUGAAAAACUCCCACGCCGAAAGACCAAGGUUUCCUGCGCAACGUUAAUCGACGCAGGGUUAGUCGGUCCCUAAGGCGAGGCUGAAAAGCGUAGUCGAUGGAAAACAGGUUAAUAUUCCUGUACUUCUGGUUAUUGCGAUGGAGGGACGGAGAAGGCUAGGCCAGCUUGGCGUUGGUUGUCCAAGUUUAAGGUGGUAGGCUGAGAUCUUAGGUAAAUCCGGGAUCUUAAGGCCGAGAGCUGAUGACGAGUUGCCAUUAGGCGACGAAGUGGUUGAUGCCAUGCUUCCAAGAAAAAGCUUCUAAGCUUCAGAUAACCAGGAACCGUACCCCAAACCGACACAGGUGGUUGGGUAGAGAAUACCAAGGCGCUUGAGAGAACUCGGGUGAAGGAACUAGGCAAAAUGGCACCGUAACUUCGGGAGAAGGUGCGCCGGUGAGGGUGAAGGACUUGCUCCGUAAGCCCAUGCCGGUCGAAGAUACCAGGCCGCUGCGACUGUUUAUUAAAAACACAGCACUCUGCAAACACGAAAGUGGACGUAUAGGGUGUGACGCCUGCCCGGUGCCGGAAGGUUAAUUGAUGGGGUUAGCUAACGCGAAGUCUUGAUCGAAGCCCCGGUAAACGGCGGCCGUAACUAUAACGGUCCUAAGGUAGCGAAAUUCCUUGUCGGGUAAGUUCCGACCUGCACGAAUGGCGUAACGAUGGCGGCGCUGUCUCCACCCGAGACUCAGUGAAAUUGAAAUCGCUGUGAAGAUGCAGUGUAUCCGCGGCUAGACGGAAAGACCCCGUGAACCUUUACUAUAGCUUUGCACUGGACUUUGAAUUUGCUUUGUAGGAUAGGUGGGAGGCUUUGAAGCGUGGACGCCAGUUCGCGUGGAGCCAUCCUUGAAAUACCACCCUGGCAACUUUGAGGUUCUAACUCAGGUCCGUUAUCCGGAUCGAGGACAGUGUAUGGUGGGUAGUUUGACUGGGGCGGUCUCCUCCUAAAGAGUAACGGAGGAGUACGAAGGUGCGCUCAGACCGGUCGGAAAUCGGUCGUAGAGUAUAAAGGCAAAAGCGCGCUUGACUGCGAGACAGACACGUCGAGCAGGUACGAAAGUAGGUCUUAGUGAUCCGGUGGUUCUGUAUGGAAGGGCCAUCGCUCAACGGAUAAAAGGUACUCCGGGGAUAACAGGCUGAUACCGCCCAAGAGUUCAUAUCGACGGCGGUGUUUGGCACCUCGAUGUCGGCUCAUCACAUCCUGGGGCUGAAGCCGGUCCCAAGGGGUAUGGCUGUUCGCCAUUUAAAGUGGUACGCGAGCUGGGUUUAGAACGUCGUGAGACAGUUCGGUCCCUAUCUGCCGUGGACGUUUGAGAUUUGAGAGGGGCUGCUCCUAGUACGAGAGGACCGGAGUGGACGAACCUCUGGUGUUCCGGUUGUCACGCCAGUGGCAUUGCCGGGUAGCUAUGUUCGGAAGAGAUAACCGCUGAAAGCAUCUAAGCGGGAAACUUGCCUCAAGAUGAGAUCUCACUGGAGCCUUGAGCUCCCUGAAGGCCGUCGAAGACUACGACGUUGAUAGGUUGGGUGUGUAAGCGCUGUGAGGCGUUGAGCUAACCAAUACUAAUUGCCCGUGAGGCUUGACCAUAUAACACCCAAGCAAUU